AUUACAAACUGGGUUAUCGCUCCUGCGUCUGCAGGUGAGGAAAGUCCGGACAGCACAGAGCAGCGCACCAUCUAACGGAUGGGACCUCACGCCAGUGAGGGACAGAAAGUGCCACAGAAAAUAACCGCCUUCAAGAUUGGGGGUAAGGGUGAAAAUGUAGAGUAAGAGCCUACGCUAUUUGGUGGCAACACUAGAUAGGGGUAAACCUUGCGCGCUGAAAUAUCAAAUAGUCGGACGAUUGAGGACGGCUCGUUUGAUGUCCGUGGGUUGAUAGCUAGAGGUGUUGCGCGAGCAGCAUCCCAGAUAAAUGAUAACCAUCCCGGGACCAUACGGGAUACAGAAUCCGGCUUAUAGGUUUGUAGUUGUU
This 367-nucleotide RNase P RNA is filed under the name Sphingobacteriales bacterium. RNAcentral describes it as "RNase P RNA component class A". It matches the Rfam family "Bacterial RNase P class A". From Rfam's summary of the family: Ribonuclease P (RNase P) is a ubiquitous endoribonuclease, found in archaea, bacteria and eukarya as well as chloroplasts and mitochondria. Its best characterised activity is the generation of mature 5'-ends of tRNAs by cleaving the 5'-leader elements of precursor-tRNAs. Cellular RNase Ps are ribonucleoproteins. The record is from RNAcentral. Lineage: Bacteria; Pseudomonadati; Bacteroidota; Sphingobacteriia; Sphingobacteriales.